GGGGCUGCUGUGGCGGCGGCCGCGGGGUUGAGGCGGGUGGGAGCCGGAGCAGUACGCCGGCUGAGGGAGGAGGGCGGCGACUAGAGAGCGGCGAAAGGCGCGGGUGCGGAGCCUCUUUCACUUUUCCCUCCCGAGUGCCCCCCCCACCCCUCCCACUCCACACACACCCUGUUUGCCCGUGAGCCUGGGGAACUUGCAGCUUAAAGCCAGCCACCCCCACAGCAACAUGUACCCCAGCAACAAGAAGAAAAAGGUGUGGAGAGAGGAGAAAGAACGUUUACUGAAGAUGACUGUAGAGGAGAGACGCAAAGAAUACACAAGGGACUAUGUUCCCCUGAACAGCAUCCCAUCUUGGAAAGAAGAGAUGAAGGGCAAGAGCCAAAAUGAUGAGAUGUGAAGUGUUCUGGAUCACUUGAAAGGCCCCAUCAUUUUUGUGAGGAGAUGGAUAUGAUCCUUGAUCUCAAUAUGCCACAUCUGCUAUAAACUUCUGAACCCUCCACCAUCAUUCAGGAUGCAUCUCUAAUGGUUGAAGAAGUGGUGGAGGAGCACAUGGGAGAGAGCCUGAGGAUCCCUGCCUGGGACAAGUUGUGGGAAGAAAGAUCUUGCAGCGUGAGCACUAGGAAAAGAGCUCUUUUUAUCCCAUCUUGUCUUCCAGUCUGUUUUGAAUCAAGAAAGACUUAUUGAAAACUCCUUUGAGAAGAGUCUGUUUUGAAGAAGGAAAAAGAAAUACUGUUGAGAGAAGGCAUACAGACCAGAAGGGUGAUAGAAACAUGUGUUUUUGUUGUGUGUGUUACACCAGCAGAGAAUAUGGAGAGCUGAGAAGGGAGAAAACUAAGAAGUGACUGAAAUUUGUGGGUCCUGAUGGGAAAAUGCUGGCCAUCUACUAAUAUGGGAAGACAGUUGAUGCUUUAGUGCCCGGACUUGUUGACUCUGUUGUGUAUAGUUACCAUAAACUCUUCUCACAUUCACAAUUACCUCUUUGUCCUCUGUGAAUGAUGGCACUCCUGCUUCUAUUUCAGCAGUGCUUCCAAGGAUGAAUGACACUAUAUGGUGUCUGUCCAAACCUAAAAAGUAUAAUCUGUUUAUCACUGGAGCUUUGCAAGGUACCCCUCUUGCAUUUUAAAAUUCUGUAGUGCACACAACCAGUCAUCGUAGGGUUUGGUUUUGUUUUUUUGUUUGUUUAAUCAACAGAUACUGGAUUUUCAAGAUGAAGUAUAAUGAUUCCUAAUCAAAUUGUGGUCAGUUUUCUUCAAUUUAAAUAAAAUAAUAAUAAAAUAAGAGUUUAUUUUUUACACUUAGAUUGUUAUGUGUUUUUUGGUGUG
Phacochoerus africanus (Common warthog) is the source of this 1322-nucleotide RNA transcript. It is a transcript of the gene named ADP-ribose glycohydrolase MACROD2-like, with no coding region annotated. NCBI's taxonomy places the organism in Eukaryota, Metazoa, Chordata, Mammalia, Artiodactyla, Suidae. The record is from RefSeq and is a predicted model, not a curated record. The transcript is spliced from 4 exons.